Long non-coding RNA from Formica exsecta, 1585 nucleotides. RefSeq lists it as uncharacterized. The transcript is spliced from 3 exons. The record is from RefSeq and is a predicted model, not a curated record. NCBI's taxonomy places the organism in Eukaryota, Metazoa, Arthropoda, Insecta, Hymenoptera, Formicidae.
UUUCGCCUUCUCCCCGCGCGCGCCGCAUCUCAUUCUCCUUUUUUCACUUCCUUCCGAGGCUACCGUCGGGAUGUUCCUACGUGCACGUCUCGUAGCGAGGAACGAAAGACGUGGGUAUUGAUCAGAGCCUGCCGCGGCUGCGGAAGUAGCCGACAUUACUUCACGGAAAACCGGCUGCCUCCUCGUAUGCGCUUACUCUGUUUAACAUGCGCAUCCGUUCGCUUCUAUUAAUUAGACGGCUGCAGAUACCUUUCGUUUUAUGUACAAUAUCAAAAAACUUGCAUAACACGAAAGGAUGAUCCAAGAAACGGAACUAAACACGCUACUGUGAUAAAAUGUUACACACACAUCGUGAGAUGGAUAAAAUUUCUGUUAAACAUCAUUCUUCAUUUUAAAAGAGACGGCAAACCGAAUUCUUGAAGGGGAUGUAUGAUUAUUGGUCGACCCUCUUUGCUGGAGUGUACCAUGGAAUAUUAAGGAGCAGCCCUAAAGGGAAUAUUCUGAGCACCGGCAUGAGAAAACUUUUGGCAAUCGCAAGCGUUUAAUUGGUCCAACGGAGAGGCAGGUGGCUACAUUAAUUGCACCGGAUUGCCAGCAGUACGACGAGCUGGUCAGGAUGCCUAAUCAUGGGGGUUGUGCGGCGAUAGGUCGGUCCGACGCGGCAGAAAAGGCGUCUCGCAUUGAAUGCUAAACAAAAGCUAAUUUAUAUCCGGAGGUCGAGACUAACGCUGGAGAUCGGGAGAUGAAUGGCUGUUCACCUUGCAUACCAAGUGGCAAGCCGAGUCCUUCAGGACCGCGGAGUUAAAGAUCUUGGAGGGAAUGUUCCCCGUGGAAUAGUUGCUUGUAUCUUCAAAUAUCGCGUACGAGACGGCGAACUGGAUUUUAGGAGCUCGUCAAAAGGCGCUCGAUCGCUGCUUGAUUUCUAUUCAGGCGGCACGUAAAUUUAAACGCCGUGAAUAAUUUUCAUCUUAAAAUAUCUAACAAUCAACCCUUUACAACGUUCUCUUUCAGUAAGUAAAUUCAGGAAAGUAAAUUCUAAGCGAGAUAAUUUCUAGUAAAGUUUUAAGAUUCAGAGGCUGCAAGAGCAAUGUAUUUAGAUAGUAAUUUUAGAUAAUCUGAAGGCGUAAAAAUUUUACACAGAGAAAUCGAAACAAACAAUAUACAAAUGUAAUAAAAUUUCUUUGAAAAAUCCACGUCUCACAUGCAGAGAUUCUCUUUAAUACUUAAUUUAUAUUAUUAUUCGUAAUUCGUAAGUUUUGUCGCGCAGAGUUGAAGAGCGCGGAAUGAAUAUUCCGGUUUCUAUCGAUUUGUGGAAGGAAAAAAUUUCCGAGCACGUAUUACUAGUGACGAGCAGGAUUCGCAUCGCGAGCUUUCGAAUCUACGCGGUUUAAUCUAUCAUUGCGACGGCGAGACGAGAAGCCGGAGUAACUAGUACGGAAUAAUUAAUAAAUGCGAGGUGCAUUAGUAUGCGUUGCGGAGGAUGAGUUCGUGCGGACCUGGAGUCGGAUGAGUCGGGCCCGGGGCUAGAGAGAGAAUUAUAAAAUAAUAAAGAGAAAAUUACGUAAUGUGAGGAUCAGAUGAGAAU